RNAcentral lists this transfer RNA (50 nucleotides) under Monanthotaxis mannii. RNAcentral's name for it is "partial tRNA-Leu". Lineage: Eukaryota; Viridiplantae; Streptophyta; Magnoliopsida; Magnoliales; Annonaceae. The record is from RNAcentral.
AAAAUCCGUCGACUUUAUAAAUCGUGAGGGUUCAAGUCCCUCUAUCCNNA